Long non-coding RNA from Zingiber officinale, 1443 nucleotides. RefSeq lists it as uncharacterized. The record is from RefSeq and is a predicted model, not a curated record. Lineage: Eukaryota; Viridiplantae; Streptophyta; Magnoliopsida; Zingiberales; Zingiberaceae. The transcript has 4 exons.
AAAUUACUCGAAAACCUAGCCUCUACAACUAUCUCCACCAAAAGUCCAUGAAAAAUGCAUCUUUGCCAAAACCCUCCUCCGCGUCGCCCUCACUAUCCUCCUCCGCCACUCCUCCAGAAGGAGCUCGAACGCUGCUCAGGAGAGCCACUCAGGCACAGCUUCAAGGAAUUCAUAUCCAUUCGGAGCGAUCGCGAAGAGGAGGGUGGGAAUGGGAUGAAGCUGGAAGCAGAUUGCAAGGAAAAGACACGCUAGAUGAGCUCCGCCCAACUGGAGCCCUAAUUCUACUACCAACGACAAGGUCGACAAUGAUGGCAAAAGCAUUGCGGAUGAGUUUUGGUUACAAAGAAAUGAAAAGCCUAAUCUCACGGAGGAGAAGGAGAUCGAUUGCUCGGAGUCAAAAAGCUACCAUUUUACGACCGGAUUCUUUCCUUUUAAGAGCUCAAAGGAGGCGUCGAAGCCCUCAAUGACACCAUGUGAUCUCUCUCUUCUAUCACUCCGACCGUCAAGGUGUUGCCUUCCCCAUCUCUUCGACGGCCGACGAACACUCUGACAAUGGCUCCGCCGCCAAGCACUCUGACAGCGCUAAACCAGUAUCUGACGAUGCACACCUUAGCUUGCAAUUGCAGCAUCCUCCAAGGAUGAUGAGGCGUUGUUGGGCGUCAAAACUGCUUCGCCGCAUUAAGAUCACAGGAUCAAGGAGUAUAAAUAAUGGUUGUCUAGAUUCAUUUACCUGACCAAGAUGGAGCUUGAUAAUUUAUUGUCGGAACCACAUUCUGUUUGACAUACUUGAGGGAUUUUGAUCCGACCAGAUAAUUGUGAAGAACCUUUAUGACCUAAUAGGAGACUUUGCACAUGCACCAUGAAAAAAUUGAUGAUCUAGAGGCUUCCUUGAUUGGGUACGAGGCAAAAGAAACUAGUGAUGAAAAAGAAACUAUGGUACGUGGAAGCUAAGCAAAGCUUGAUUAGGAAUUGGCAGAUUUCUGCAAUCACUGUUUAUUGUGUCUUUGCUCUUCAAGACAUGACAUACUCUGAGGGCCUUUUCAGAUAUUUUGAAGGUGAAUAGAGGUAUUCAGGAACUCCAGCUAAACAGCUAGGGUAUGGAUGAUUACAGGAGCAACAACUACAUGCUAUGUGGCACUGCAUUCGAACCUCAGGGGUGUGACUGGGAAGUACUUCGACGAAGAACUAUCAAGACGGCUUUAAGAUUUAAGCGAGAAGAUGGUUAAAGCCAAUAAAUAAAGAACAUUCAAGUCAAGAUAAGUAACAUCUAUCAAGAUCCUUUAAGUUCAUAUAAUAAGAUGUAGUCGAUGGGAGCAGCUUUGAAUGUCGCCUAAUUAAAAUUUCUUUGUAUGCGAGUAAUUAUGUUUGUUAUAGAAGUGUAAGGAUGAUAAUUUGUAUAUUUAUCUUGGUUGUUUAUUUAAUAAUAUGUUGUUGAUUGAAGUA